This 484-nucleotide ribosomal RNA is filed under the name uncultured bacterium. RNAcentral describes it as "bacterial SSU rRNA". It matches the Rfam family "Bacterial small subunit ribosomal RNA", at positions 30 to 507 of the family's 1533-position model. The record is from RNAcentral.
AUUGAACGCUGGCGGCAUGCUUUACACAUGCAAGUCGAACGGUAACAGGGAGCUUGCUCCGCUGACGAGUGGCGAACGGGUGAGUAAUGCAUCGGAACGUGCCGUGUAAUGGGGGAUAACGUAGCGAAAGUUACGCUAAUACCGCAUACGCACUGAGGUGGAAAGCAGGGGAUCGCAAGACCUUGCGCUAUACGAGCGGCCGAUGUCAGAUUAGCUAGUUGGUAGGGUAAAGGCCUACCAAGGCGACGAUCUGUAGCGGGUCUGAGAGGAUGAUCCGCCACACUGGGACUGAGACACGGCCCAGACUCCUACGGGAGGCAGCAGUGGGGAAUUUUGGACAAUGGGCGAAAGCCUGAUCCAGCCAUGCCGCGUGAGUGAAGAAGGCCUUCGGGUUGUAAAGCUCUUUCGGCUGGGAAGAAAUCGCACAGGCUAAUACUCUGUGUGGAUGACGGUACCAGCACAAGAAGCACCGGCUAACUACGUG